GUCCACGCCGUAAACGUUGGGCACUAGGUGUGGGUCUCAACCAACGAGAUCCGCGCCGUCGCUAACGCAUUAAGUGCCCCGCCUGGGGAGUACGGCCGCAAGGCUAAAACUCAAAGGAAUUGACGGGGCCCGCACAAGCAGCGGAGCGUGUUGCUUAAUUCGAUGCAACGCGAAGAACCUUACCUGGGUUUGACAUGUAGGGAAAAGCUCUAGAGAUAGGGUGUCCUUCGGGCCGUUACACAGGUGGUGCAUGGCUGUCGU
This 261-nucleotide ribosomal RNA is filed under the name uncultured bacterium. RNAcentral describes it as "partial 16S ribosomal RNA". It matches the Rfam family "Bacterial small subunit ribosomal RNA", at positions 793 to 1055 of the family's 1533-position model. The record is from RNAcentral.